UCCGAGUUGUCCCCGGCAGUCCUUUUAGAGUCCCCGGCAUUACCCGCUGGCAACUAAAAGCAGGGGUUGCGCUCGUUGCGGCACUUAAGCCAACACCUCACGGCACGAGCUGACGACAGCCAUGCAGCACCUGUGCUAGCCCCUUACGGACACGGGCUUUCACCCGCUUUAACUAGCAUGUCAAGCCCAGGUAAGGUGGGGAUGACGUUAGUGACCUUUGC
RNAcentral lists this unclassified non-coding RNA (221 nucleotides) under uncultured Actinomycetes bacterium. RNAcentral's name for it is "uncultured actinobacterium contains 16S-23S intergenic spacer region". Lineage: Bacteria; Bacillati; Actinomycetota; Actinomycetes. The record is from RNAcentral.